This is a long non-coding RNA of Melanotaenia boesemani (Boeseman's rainbowfish), 883 nucleotides long. RefSeq lists it as uncharacterized. The transcript has 2 exons. NCBI's taxonomy places the organism in Eukaryota, Metazoa, Chordata, Actinopteri, Atheriniformes, Melanotaeniidae. The record is from RefSeq and is a predicted model, not a curated record.
UCUUCUUAAUAAUGAUUCUGAGUCUUGUUUUGAGUAUGACGAUGUAAAGAGAGUGCUGUAAAAUUUCUUAACUUCUUCCGAUAUUUGUUUUAUGUCUGAACAUUCCUCACCGUUGAACAUGAGAUUGUGAAUUGCAUUUUUUUCCUGUCUUUGCUUUUCUAAUUUGAAAAAAUAUGAAGUAUUUUUUUCACCCUCUUCUAUCCAUCUUGCCCUUGAACGUAUAUAGGCUCCCUGUGCUUUAUUUUGAUAAAAUUCAUCCAAUUUAGAUUGUAAGAUGUUGAUAUUUGUUUUGUCAUCCUCAUUCCAGUCAGAUUUGUGGUAGUAUGAAAUUAAGUCUGAAAUUAAUUUAGUUUCUUCCAAUUGUUUCUCUUUUUGUAAUUUUUUACUAUAGGAAAUAGAGAAUUUCCUUACCGAGAAUUUGAGGAAUUCCCAUUUUUGUAUAGCUCCUUUUGUGGCUAGACGGAGGUUCACAAUAUGGUGAUCACUUGAAGGACUACAGGAGAUACUGGCCUCUGUACUGUGUUCAAGUAUGGAGUCUGUAACUAACCAAUAAUCAAUUCUUGAUCUUGCCUGUCCAUUCGGUUUAAACCAAGUAUACUGCCUGAUCUUAGGAUUAAAAUAUCUCCAAGCAUCAGUAAGUCUGCAUUCAUUCAUAAAGUUUCGCAUAACUGGAUUUAAAGUUGCCUGUGAAUAUUUUGAUGGGUAUCUGUCCAGCCACUCAUCUGGCGUUAAAUUAAAAUCACCCGCAACGGCAACAUGUUGAGUGGGAUAAUUUUGUUGUAGCUUCUCAAUGACUGAUGUGACCUGCUGUAAUAGCUGUUUGUUUUUCUGAUCGUUAUUGUAUCCAUAAACAUUAACAACAAUAAACAAACUGUUAUCAAUA